AAUGAAUAUUUUAAAAUUAAUUUUUUACCCCAAUGUGAUCCCUAAAAUAAAGGAUCGCAUAAGUGAUUCCAAUAUGAACAAUAAUAUAAAAAGAGCUUUGGUUUCCGAUACAGGUCUUUUAUCUAUUCACUUUUGGGCUCCAACAUUUAAAUGGUCUAUAAGCAUUGCAAAUAUUGUUGAUAUUAAUAGAAGCCCUGACUUGUUAUCCUUUCCACAGCAACUUGCUAUAUUCCUCACUGGAGUGUUAUUUGCUCGCUUCGCUUAUAAAAUCAAACCAAGGAAUAUGAAUCUGCUAACAAUUAACCUAUUUAUGAGUAUGACAGCGAUGUAUCAAAUCGGACGUAUUGCUAUUUAUAAAUAUGACCAAACUGAAAAAAGUAAAGAUGAAAAUAAUAGCACGCCAGUAACAACUGAGAAAUUAAGUUUGCUUAGAAAAUAAAAAAACUGAAAAAUAAAAAAAAUUAAUAUAUUUAUUUGCA
Molecule: long non-coding RNA, 479 nt
Filed under: Piliocolobus tephrosceles (Ugandan red Colobus)
Lineage: Eukaryota; Metazoa; Chordata; Mammalia; Primates; Cercopithecidae
Description: lncRNA (ENSPTEG00000002606.1)
Source: RNAcentral